AAGCAACCCUGCACAGAGGGAAAGAAGAAUCUCAACAUACAGUCCUCAGCAGCUUUAGCAUGGGCAACAAAUUAAGUCUCUGUAAAAGGCCCAAAGGACAGGGUUUGGUGAGAUUCUGGAGAGCUGGAAACAUGGAGGUUGACAGGAAUGUAAAGAAGAACUCAUUUACAUGCCAGGAGGGUGGAACACCCCAAUUCCAUGAGGAUAACUGCUCCUGUACUCCAGACCUCACCCCAUGUGUCUCUUCAUCUGGCUGGUUAUUUGUCCUUUAAGAUCUCCUUACUCAACCAGUAAAUGUGUCUUUACAUUGUUUUAGUCUUGAACUAGAAGAUGAAAGCAUCAAAUAAAGAAAUAUACUGUGGGUAUAUGGAUUACAAAAAAAGUGCUGGAUGUUCCAUGCCCUCAAACAUUGGACUCCAAGCUCUUCAGCUUUGGGACUUCAACUGGCUUCCUUGCUCCUCGGCUUACAGAUGGCCUAUUGUGGGACCCUGUGAUCGUGAUGGUCAGAGGAGGAUUGGU
This 519-nucleotide long non-coding RNA is filed under the name Homo sapiens (human). RNAcentral describes it as "HSALNT0319889". Lineage: Eukaryota; Metazoa; Chordata; Mammalia; Primates; Hominidae. The record is from RNAcentral.